Molecule: transfer RNA, 65 nt
Filed under: Torleya nepalica
Lineage: Eukaryota; Metazoa; Arthropoda; Insecta; Ephemeroptera; Ephemerellidae
Description: tRNA-Leu
Source: RNAcentral
UCUAAUAUGGCAGACCAGUGCAAUAGAUUUAAGCUCUAUAUAGAAAGAUUAUUCUUUUAUUAGAA